Molecule: ribosomal RNA, 253 nt
Filed under: uncultured bacterium
Lineage: Bacteria
Description: partial 16S ribosomal RNA
Rfam family: Bacterial small subunit ribosomal RNA
Source: RNAcentral
UACGUAGGGGGCUAGCGUUGUCCGGAAUCAUUGGGCGUAAAGCGCGUGUAGGCGGUCCGGUAAGUCCGCUGUGAAAGUCGGGGGCUCAACCCUCGGAUGCCGGUGGAUACUGUCGGGCUUGAGUACGGAAGAGGCGAGUGGAAUUCCUGGUGUAGCGGUGAAAUGCGCAGGUAUCAGGAGGAACACCAAUUGCGAAGGCAGCUCGCUGGGACGUUACUGACGCUGAGACGCGAAAGCUAGGGGAGCGAAUGGG